RNAcentral lists this ribosomal RNA (460 nucleotides) under uncultured bacterium. Its description in RNAcentral is "partial 16S ribosomal RNA". It matches the Rfam family "Bacterial small subunit ribosomal RNA", at positions 338 to 795 of the family's 1533-position model. The record is from RNAcentral.
CCUACGGGAGGCAGCAGUGAGGAAUAUUGGUCAAUGGACGAGAGUCUGAACCAGCCAAGUAGCGUGAAGGAUGACUGCCCUAUGGGUUGUAAACUUCUUUUAUAUGGGAAUAAAACAGGGUAUGCAUACCCUCUUGUAUGUACCAUAUGAAUAAGGAUCGGCUAACUCCGUGCCAGCAGCCGCGGUAAUACGGAGGAUCCGAGCGUUAUCCGGAUUUAUUGGGUUUAAGGGGAGCGUAGGUGGAUUGUUAAGUCAGUAGUGAAAGUUUGCGGCUCAACCGUAAAAUUGCAGUUGAAACUGGGCGGCUGGAGUGCAGUAGAGGCGGGCGGAAUUCGUGGUGUAGCGGUGAAAUGCGUAGAUAUCACGAAGAACUCCGAUUGCGAAGGCAGCCUGCUGGACUGCAACUGACACUGAUGCUCGAAAGUGUGGGUAGCAAACAGGAUUAGAUACCCUUGUAGUC